Molecule: long non-coding RNA, 253 nt
Organism: Rana temporaria (common frog)
Lineage: Eukaryota; Metazoa; Chordata; Amphibia; Anura; Ranidae
Exons: 4
Source: RefSeq, a predicted model, not a curated record
CUGCUUGUUUGCAUUCCCCCCCCUUUCAUAUUUGACAGGUACCUGCUCCCACUUCUGGGUGACCUGCCAGGAUGAUCAUAAGGCUUCACUGCCGGUAUCCCUUACCCAACAGCCAGCGCCUGUACAUGAAACCGACUGAAGAUAUGGUUCAGGGGACUGCAGUGACCUCAAGGCAUAAAAAGGGGUUACAAGGACAUCGAAGGCUUCGUUUUCAGCGCAAAAAAUAAAAACCGCAGAGGUGAUCAAACACCAC